This is a long non-coding RNA of Talpa occidentalis (Iberian mole), 364 nucleotides long. RefSeq lists it as uncharacterized. NCBI's taxonomy places the organism in Eukaryota, Metazoa, Chordata, Mammalia, Eulipotyphla, Talpidae. The record is from RefSeq and is a predicted model, not a curated record. The transcript is spliced from 3 exons.
GACAAAAGAAGAGGAAGAAAAGAUUCCUUCAAGGGAGUGCUAGAGUUCUUCAAGGUCAAGUUGGAGCAGUAAGCAGAACUGAAAUCACAAGAGACUUACAGAUGGGAGUAAGAGAGGGGGGGAUGUCAUUCUAAUACCAUAAAAGCCUCUUGAAAGUAUUUGCUCAUGGAGUUGUCAGGACUUGCGCAAUCAGUUAAAUUGGACAGAAGUGAACACAGAAAGAAGUCCCUGGAAAUAUAACAGAAGACCCAGAAGGAAGGAAGGAACCCAAAAGGAUUAAACGAUACAUCUUGUUCUCAUCUGUUUAUAUUAGAAAACAACUGCCUUUAGCUAAGCAAAGGCCAAUUAAUGUGCAAAGCAUUUA